AGAGGUGACUGAAGGAGGACUUGAUCUUGCAAUUCUUGGUCUGAUAACCAACAUGGAGGAAGCCCUUAUCCUAGAAGUGUAGGAAAAUCCAUUCCUGUAUGACAAGAGAUUGGAGAUGUUCAAGGAUACAGAAGUCAAAAAAUGAUGUAUGACAUGACAUUGGGCGUCAGCUUGUAAUCUCAGGUGACGUAGCGAGUUGAGGGACAACUUCCUAAAAAACGACAGAAAUGGAGAGGAAGAGUGGUGACGGAGCUCCCUCAAAUGCAGCACGUAAAUACAAGUACAGUGAGGCAAUGGAAUUCCUACUUCCCCACAUACAUAAUCGAGACAGAACAAGUUCAAUCUUGGAUCCUGUGUUUGAUGUAGACACACCAGGAGAAGCCUGUACCAAGCAGGAAGAAACUGAGCAGGAGAAUGGUGGGUGACAUCUGUCCACAACGUGGGUCAGUCUUCCUCGUCAUCAUCCUCAGGCACGUCCGCAACAUCAGUCCAGUCUUCAAGUCCCAACUUCACUUCAAAUCGAGGAGACAAUGUUGCAGUAUUUUCAAAGCACUGAUAGUCAUGGUGACAACAUAACUGUAGAUAAAUUUUUCUCCAGCUUGUCCCCCAUUGUCCCACACUGUAAAAGUUACCUCAAUGCCAGCUCCAUUGCUAUGAGGUUAAAUUUCGGUCGUCUGAACAUUGAACAUACUACUAUAGGAAUUAAAGGACAUGUCAUCUAACUCCAAGUCGAUUCUUAUUGAUGUUAUAAACAUCUCACAAUUUAAGAAUCCAAAUAUGUUUCGUAGAUUAAAAAAAAAGUUAACGGAAAAUGCUCUAACUUGCUAUGCUCCACCGCUAAAAAGAGAGCUGAUAUCUUAUUCCCUCUGACCAUGGAGCUAAUAGCUCUAUGCUCUGACAUCACUCAAUACUCAUCCGAUUGUUAGCUAACAAAGGGACAGUGGUUUGUAGUUUGCCAGAGCUAACAACCUGUUAACAGUCUCAACAUAAAAGAUGCAAUGUCAGACAUGCAGCAUCACCAACAAAUUAAAAGUGGUGUAUAUAUGA
Lytechinus pictus (painted urchin) is the source of this 1047-nucleotide long non-coding RNA. RefSeq lists it as uncharacterized. Lineage: Eukaryota; Metazoa; Echinodermata; Echinoidea; Temnopleuroida; Toxopneustidae. The transcript is spliced from 4 exons. The record is from RefSeq and is a predicted model, not a curated record.